Non-coding RNA from Lactuca sativa (garden lettuce), 1171 nucleotides. Lineage: Eukaryota; Viridiplantae; Streptophyta; Magnoliopsida; Asterales; Asteraceae. The record is from RefSeq and is a predicted model, not a curated record.
AUAUUGUUUGAGUUGGUUUGGUGUCCAAAAUGUUGUGUGGAAUGAAUAUGAGUUUGAACUAGGUUCAAAAUGUUAUUUAUAAAGGAGCCACAUUACCGGGGUUGUGAUCACUAUAUCCGGUUAUCCAUUUAAAAUACGGGUCUGGAAUGGGUCAUAUGGGACCGAAUGAUUAUUUUUCAAGAGUACUUUUAUUGUGGUUAUUAUUUCUAAAAAACGAUUACAAAGUGGCUGGAUUACUCAAUUUUCCAAAGAUAAAUGAUUAUCGAUAAAUAAAAAGAUUUCACAUAGGCAUACACUAUAUAGCCUAAUUAAUGCAUAAGAUUUUGUUUAAUUAAAAUCAUGAUCUUCAAACAUGUUGGAGCACUAACUGACUCGAAAAAGAGGGUUUCAGACGCCUGAACUCUUUCAUAUUUCUUCUUUCUUGAAAUUAUGAGAAAGUUAGUCGUUUUCCUCUUGGGGUCAUUCUUUUCUUAUGCCCUUCCUCCUUUUCUGAAACACUUGCGGUUUCUAUAGUGUUUUUAUGCGUAUCAAGGCAUUGGUGUCCACUCUACAAACAUAUGUCAUCUGACUUGCUUACAAGUUUCAAAGGAAAUAGUACUUAAUCGUUCAUCUCACGCCACCUAGCCUGCUGCUUCCUUCUUAUUUUCCCUUCUUGAUUGAACAUUUCACUUGUAACUUCUCCUCUACUGCCUUUGUUUCUUGAAACCGAAGCCUCUCACCCCCAAUAUCAACUUUUACCCCAACCUCUUUGAAGGGAACACUUGAAAUAUUCAUUCGUUUGAUUUCAGCAAAUAAAACCUCCGGAAUCUUGAAGCAAAACAGAGAAAUCAAGAACGAUAUUCUGCGUGGGCUUCCCAUAUUGAAGUUUUUUCAUUGACAUUUUUACAUUCACACAAAUCGGAGAAUGCCACAGUGGACAGAAGGUUUAUCUUGAGGAUCUGUCUCACAUGUUAUGGGAGACAAGGAAAUGGUGAAGCUAGCUACAAAAAGAUUAGUAAAAUGAUAUAAGUGGUUUUCCUUUAUUUUCUCCUUACAUCAAUUUAUUUAUCCAUUUAAAGACUUAGUUCGUAUUUUGUUAUAUAUAAAAAAAAAACAGAUUACAAUGCUAUAGUUCAGUAACUGUGUUUCUUUAAGGUUUAUUGGUUCUAAAACACAUUAUUUGUUGAGGUUC